UCAGUUCGGAUUGCAGCCUGCAACUCGGCUGCAUGAAGUUGGAAUCGCUAGUAAUCGCGGAUCAGAAUGCCGCGGUGAAUACGUUCCCGGGUCUUGUACACACCGCCCGUCACACCAUGGGAGUCGGGAAUGCCCGAAGUCGGUGACCUAACCGGAAGGGAGGAGCCGCCGAAGGCAGGCCUGGUAACUGGGGUGAAGUCGUAACAAGGUAUC
RNAcentral lists this ribosomal RNA (213 nucleotides) under uncultured bacterium. RNAcentral describes it as "partial 16S ribosomal RNA". It matches the Rfam family "Bacterial small subunit ribosomal RNA", at positions 1288 to 1500 of the family's 1533-position model. The record is from RNAcentral.